AGUGAACGCUGGCGGUAGGCCUAACACAUGCAAGUCGAACGGCAGCACAGUAAGAGCUUGCUCUUACGGGUGGCGAGUGGCGGACGGGUGAGGAAUACAUCGGAGUCUACUUUUUCGUGGGGGAUAACGUAGGGAAACUUACGCUAAUACCGCAUACGACCUACGGGUGAAAGCAGGGGAUCUUCGGACCUUGCGCGAUUGAAUGAGCCGAUGCCGGAUUAGCUAGUUGGCGGGGUAAAGGCCCACCAAGGCGACGAUCCGUAGCUGGUCUGAGAGGAUGAUCAGCCACACUGGAACUGAGACACGGUCCAGACUCCUACGGGAGGCAGCAGUGGGGAAUAUUGGACAAUGGGCGCAAGCCUGAUCCAGCCAUACCGCGUGGGUGAAGAAGGCCUUCGGGUUGUAAAGCCCUUUUGUUGGGAAAGAAAAGCAGCAGGUUAAUACCCCGCUGUUCUGACGGUACCCAAAGAAUAAGCACCGGCUAACUUCGUG
This 492-nucleotide ribosomal RNA is filed under the name uncultured bacterium. RNAcentral's name for it is "partial 16S ribosomal RNA". It matches the Rfam family "Bacterial small subunit ribosomal RNA", at positions 29 to 507 of the family's 1533-position model. The record is from RNAcentral.